CCGGGAGCGGAGACCUGCAGGCUUUACCCGACAGCGUGGGGUCCGUCCCCUCCGCAGGCGAACACGCGGAGCCGCUCCCGCAGGCCCUCAAAGGAUGGAGUCUGCCCCAGGCACAGGCAGCGGCGUGAUGUGCGGACCACACCCGUGGCCUCCAGGCUUCCUGCUCCGCUCCAGGGCAGUCAGGCGUGCAGGCACCAGGCACCUGAGCUCGGUCAACACCCUCGGGAUCCUGUCCCUCCUGAGAUGUGACAGAAAUGGCCCCACACACGAGCGGCCUGAUGCUCGGAGGCCCUGUGGCCCCUGGGUGACUCAGUGAGCGGCAGGGACAGGGCUGGAUCCACAGCUCCGCCCCAAGCUUCCUGCCACCGUGGGAACCACAAGCUCCACGUUUCCCUGUCAGGUAAGCCUUUCGGAGGCAGGGCUGAAAUCCCAUCCUCACUGUGUCGCCUGACUUAGUGAAACGAGCCCCGCGGCAGGCACGCGCACCCCGGCUCAACCUCUGGGCGGGCACGCGCACCCCGGCUCAACCUCUGGGCGGGCACGCGCGCCCCGGCUCAACCUCUGGACUCGGGCUCCAUCUCCUCCUCGUCUCCCUGUGGGGUGGGCACUUGUAAUACCUCCAUGUUACAGAAAGGAAACUGAGGCACAGAGGGCCAUGCCUCGCCCAAGGUUAGCCAGCCAAUAGACGGGAGGGCUGAGAUUUGACCCAGGAACAUGCCUCCAAGCCCAUUUCAUUCAUUCAGCAAGGCUCGGGCAAGACAGGCUGGUGCCCGCACUGGGGAUGCCUGAACACCAGAUGGACUGGCCUCAGCCCAUGGUGGGCAGCAGGCUGGGCACGGGCAUCAACAUGGCAAUGCCAACCUUGGAGGGCGUUACGGAGGAUGGGCAGGGGCUGGCCUACCCCGCAGCUGCCUGUGAGAUCAAGAAGAAGCCGCACUCAGUCUGUGCUGGAGGUUUCCAGGUUAUGUCACAGUGCUGGGUCCCACUGGAGGGACGUGAGGCUCUGCCCCGGCUUCCAGGCCCCAGGCUGAGCAUGCUGGCAGGAGCGAGGUACCUGAGUGUGAUCACCUCCAGGCUGGGCAUCUCCCGGCAAAUGGAGA
Molecule: long non-coding RNA, 1100 nt
Organism: Nomascus leucogenys (northern white-cheeked gibbon)
Lineage: Eukaryota; Metazoa; Chordata; Mammalia; Primates; Hylobatidae
Exons: 3
Source: RefSeq, a predicted model, not a curated record